UACGAAGGGGGCUAGCGUUGUUCGGAUUUACUGGGCGUAAAGCGCACGUAGGCGGAUUGUUAAGUAAGAGGUGAAAUCCCGGAGCUCAACUCCGGAACUGCCUUUCAUACUGGCAAUCUAGAGUCCGGAAGAGGUGAGUGGAACUCCUAGUGUAGAGGUGGAAUUCGUAGAUAUUAGGAAGAACACCAGUGGCGAAGGCGGCUCACUGGUCCGGUACUGACGCUGAGGUGCGAAAGCGUGGGGAGCAAACAGG
Molecule: ribosomal RNA, 253 nt
Filed under: uncultured bacterium
Lineage: Bacteria
Description: partial 16S ribosomal RNA
Rfam family: Bacterial small subunit ribosomal RNA
Source: RNAcentral